RNAcentral lists this ribosomal RNA (253 nucleotides) under uncultured bacterium. RNAcentral describes it as "partial 16S ribosomal RNA". It matches the Rfam family "Bacterial small subunit ribosomal RNA", at positions 524 to 776 of the family's 1533-position model. The record is from RNAcentral.
UACAGAGGGUGCAAGCGUUGUUCGGAAUUAUUGGGCGUAAAGGGCGCGUAGGCGGUGCGGUAAGUCUGUAGUGAAAUCUCUGGGCUCAACUCAGAGUCUGCUGCAGAAACUGCCGUGCUUGAGUGUGGGAGAGGUGAGUGGAAUUCCCGGUGUAGCGGUGAAAUGCGUAGAUAUCGGGGAGGAACACUGCGGUGUAGACGGCUUACUGGACGGUAACUGACGCUGAGGCACGAAAGCGUGGGUAGCAAACAGG